GACGAACGCUGGCGGCGUGCUUAACACAUGCAAGUCGAACGGAAAGGCCCUGCUUUUGUGGGGUGCUCGAGUGGCGAACGGGUGAGUAACACGUGAGUAACCUGCCCUUGACUUUGGGUUAACUUCAGGAAACUGGGGCUAAUACCGGAUAGGAGCUCCUGCUGCAUGGUGGGGGUUGGAAAGUUUCGGCGGUUGGGGAUGGACUCGCGGCUUAUCAGCUUGUUGGUGGGGUAGUGGCUUACCAAGGCUUUGACGGGUAGCCGGCCUGAGAGGGUGACCGGCCACACUGGGACUGAGAGACGGCCCAGACUCCUACGGGAGGCAGCAGGGGGGAAUAUUGCACAAGGGGCGGAAGCCUGAUGGAGCAACGCCGCGUGCGGGAUGACGGCCUUCGGGUUGUAAACAGCUUUCGCCUGUGACGAAGCGUGAUGGCGGGAAAUGGGUAAGGAAGCACGGGCUAACUACGU
RNAcentral lists this ribosomal RNA (467 nucleotides) under uncultured bacterium. RNAcentral describes it as "partial 16S ribosomal RNA". It matches the Rfam family "Bacterial small subunit ribosomal RNA", at positions 28 to 506 of the family's 1533-position model. The record is from RNAcentral.